This 161-nucleotide microRNA precursor is filed under the name Prunus dulcis (almond). RNAcentral describes it as "sRNA ncRNA". Lineage: Eukaryota; Viridiplantae; Streptophyta; Magnoliopsida; Rosales; Rosaceae. The record is from RNAcentral.
GUGAGGAGGAGAUUAAGAGAGAUGAUGAAAGGGGAGGAUGGGAGGGAGUAGUAACAAAAGUCAAAACAAUUUCAAAUAGAUUUCAGUUUUUAGUUUUUGUUUUCACUUUUGUAUCUCCUCCCUCUCAUCUUUCCUCUCAAUCUCAUCUUCACUCUCAUUCU